UGGGGAAUAUUGCGCAAUGGGGGGAACCCUGACGCAGCCAUGCCGCGUGAAUGAAGAAGGCCUUCGGGUUGUAAAGUUCUUUCGGUAUUAAGGAAGGUUGAUGUGUUAAUAGCACAUCAAAUUGACGUUAAAUACAGAAGAAGCACCGGCUAACUCCGUGCCAGCAGCCGCGGUAAUACGGAGGGUGCGAGCGUUAAUCGGAAUAACUGGGCGUAAAGGGCACGCAGGCGGUUAUUUAAGUGAGGUGUGAAAGCCCUGGGCUUAACCUAGGAAUUGCAUUUCAGACUGGGUAACUAGAGUACUUUAGGGAGGGGUAGAAUUCCACGUGUAGCGGUGAAAUGCGUAGAGAUGUGGAGGAAUACCGAAGGCGAAGGCAGCCCCUUGGGAAUGUACUGACGCUCAUGUGCGAAAGCGUGGGGAGCAAACAGGAUUAGAUACCCUGGUAGUCCACGCUGUAAACGCUGUCGAUUUGGGGAUUGGGCUUAGAGCUUGGUGCCCGUAGCUAACGUGAUAAAUCGACCGCCUGGGGAGUACGGCCGCAAGGUUA
Molecule: ribosomal RNA, 547 nt
Filed under: uncultured bacterium
Lineage: Bacteria
Description: bacterial SSU rRNA
Rfam family: Bacterial small subunit ribosomal RNA
Source: RNAcentral